Lycium barbarum (goji berry) is the source of this 2914-nucleotide long non-coding RNA. RefSeq lists it as uncharacterized. Lineage: Eukaryota; Viridiplantae; Streptophyta; Magnoliopsida; Solanales; Solanaceae. The record is from RefSeq and is a predicted model, not a curated record. The transcript is spliced from 2 exons.
UUAAAAUUGAAAGUAUCAACUGAUGCUUAAAUAUUGCUAUUGUUUUAUCUUAAAGAGAGGAAAAUAGUUUCUUUUUAAAUAAGUAUUCUCUUUUAAAAAAUAUUAAUAAAUUUUCGUAGCAAACACGAAUAAAAUAAAGUUCUACAUACGAAGCACAAACUACAAUGUUAUAUUAAUCAUAUUUUGAACAUAGUAUAUAUAUAUAUAUAUAUAUAUAUAUAUAUAUAUUAUCAUUAUCUAAACACAACUAUAUAUACAUAGAUACACUAUAAUCCGAAGUGUUGGACUCGUGCACACGGGCAUAGACCAUCAAGUAUUAUAUAGAAGCAAUCAGUUGGGUCCUUUUCGUCGUCGUCGUCGUCCAAAAAAAAAAAAAAAAAUUGGGCCCAUAUUAAACAGGCGCGUUUUCUUCUUCCUAUCCAUAGAUGAUUCUAGGAUCUACUAUGGAGACAUUUCGGAUCCACUGACUACUUAACCUAAGCGAAGAAGAAGUCCAUAUCUUGCUUUCUCCAUUCAAAUUUUAUUUCAACUGAUCUACAUUCAAGAGGAGUAUUCUAGAAAAAAAUAAUUUGCAGCAGUGGUACAUACUUAUGAGAAGUACUGUCAGAAAUUUAGCUAUAAAUUAUGUCAAGUAAAAGGUAGACACUCAAUAAGGGGCAUUGACUGCUACUUUAAAGCCAAGGUGCAGCUGCCACAAGAAGAAAAUGAAAAACAAGAAAAUGCAAACCAAAGGAAGAGGAGAUGGAGGAGAAAAUACAAAGAAGAAGUUACUGUAAAUGGAUAUCACUUUGAACUUUCAUGGUAAAUGUAAUGCGUCGUUAGUUCUUUUCAAUUUCUCAUUGUGCCUUGCCCUUAGCAUAAAAUGCAUGCUUGAUUAUAAAUGUUGUGAAUUUUUAAAAACUUGAUGUGAUGAAGAGUCUAAUUAGGCUACCUUUUGCGGUAGAAUUGUUUUGGCAUGCGAUUUCAUUCAUUGAUUUGGUUCUGCAAAGCUUAGUUCGUCCAAUGUUGUCCUUCAGGUGUCACUUUCACGUAAUUUAAAAUAUCACCACUUUUAGAUAAUUUGAAUUUUCUCAUUAUUUACACCAUGUGGAAAUCUGGUGUUUUUGAUGCUGAAAGAUUCAUAGAUGCUAUGCAAGCAUUUGAGAAUUUCAUAACUGCAGCUAAGAGUGGAGGUGGGGAGAGUUUGAAUGGAAGAAUGGCAGAGGUUGGCAUUAUGCAAAGUCAAACAAAUAGCAUAAUUCCUUUUUCUUCUUCAAGUGCUUAUCAAACAGAGCAGCCAAUCCAAACAAGAGCAGCAUUAGCAUUUCUGCUCUCUGAUAAAGGGAUUUUUUUUCCGCGAAUUCCUUUUGGAUGAGGUACGUCUACUUGGCUGCUAAGUUAGCUCUGUGGGAAAAAUUGCAGAGAUGAAUAUAUAAUUAUCAGAUAUGUUUUUUAAUCUAAGCCUGUAAUCACUCAAACUUUGUGAACUAUAAUUUAUCAAGGUUUGAUUCAUUUUAAGACCAUUUGUUCUGCUAUACAUUUCUGUCUAAAUAUACACAGUGAAUGGACUAUGCAAACUCAUUUGAAGGCCAUCAACAAGUAAAACUUGAAGCUCUUGGAAAAAAUCCUCUUAUGCACAUGAAAAUACUAGGAAGGAAGAAAUAUUUUUUCUAGGCUAUAAAAAGGCAGUACCUUGUAGGUAAAGUGAUCGAAUGGUGAUUCAUGCAUAAAUAAGACUUCCCUACAAGCUAACCUCAAGCAGGAUCCAAAGGUAAGAGGUGUUUUCUGUUGUGUUGUUGGAUAAUUGAUUGUUGGUUAUCCAAAUUGUAUUUAGACUGCAAGAGAAAUGGGAACUAGAACAUUUGAUAAAUGUAAAUUGUACGAGACUUGGGAGGACGAACACAGCAAAAACAAGUGGUACUCUGCUCAUCCAUAGUUGGACCUUUAAACCCCAAGUCCAAAAGAUCAGCUCUUCUCUUUAUCAUUCUGACAAGUGUACUUUUUGGUUGACACGUGUUUAUUACUUCUAUUUGAGUGGGACAACUGCUUCCCAGUUCCCACUUCUAUUUCCUUUUCUAUUUUCCACACUUUUCUAUUCCUUUUUUCACAUUUGUGAUUGAUUUUCAGUUUCCACUCCCAUUCUUCCUCUCAUGUCGACUGUUACUACGGCCUGUCUGCCAAAUGGUGUCUUAAUGUUUUGGUAUUUUAAUUUUAGUUAUCUAGCAAAAUUUAUGACUCAUUAGCCAUUCUUCUUUGUUAGUCAUUUUUGUUGCAGAUCGUGGUUCAAAUGCUAAUUCAGAUUCACAUGUAGAUUUAUAUCCAGAUGAUUUUAGAUUUGUAAGGAAGUCAAAGUAUGUUGAUGAAGAAAGGGAAGAGAAUUUGAAAAAGCUGAAGGAGAAUAUCAGCUCAAUAUUAAAGAAGUUGUUGAGUUCAUAUUGUCAACAGCUGAGGUUUGCUUAAUUUUGCGUCAAGUUCUUGGUCAGAGGUUUGGUUUGUCAUCAGAAAAAUUGUGAAUGCUAACUAUACUUUUGUAUUUUUAGGAGAACAAUAAAAUGAACCUUGAAUAGGGAAAUAAUAUGAUUGAUAAAACAUAUCCCAUUUUCUCGGUCAAAGAUGGUUUCAUUUGAAUUUUAUAGGUGCUUAGAUAAUUAGCAUGUCUUAUUGGAUAGGAGUACUCUCUAACCAAGUUUAAUUAUGUGGUUCAAAUAGUAUAUGUAAGAGGCUUGAUUUGAUCCUCCUCUUUCAUUCUAGAUGGGAGUUUGUGUGAUUUUUGGAAGAAAAUCCCAUUUCUUCUUCUGUUCAUUUAUGUGUAAAGCUUAUAAGGUUGAUGAUAGAAUGCAACUGUUGGCAUUCUAGAGUAGGAAGUCACAGUACUUCUAGAUGCUCUAUUACAUUCACAUAUUUGAUAGCCAUAUGAAAUUGGGUUGACAUAUUA